This 2119-nucleotide long non-coding RNA is filed under the name Sus scrofa (pig). Its description in RNAcentral is "lncRNA (ENSSSCG00045037574.1)". The record is from RNAcentral. Lineage: Eukaryota; Metazoa; Chordata; Mammalia; Artiodactyla; Suidae.
AUUCCUGCUUCCGAGGAGUUUGUCGUGGAACCUAGAAGGCCAUCACGUGCACAACUACAUACAACACAGGUCUUGUUUUGUUUUUUGGUUUUUGGUUUGUUUUUUUUCUUUUUUGUCUUUUUAGGGCCUCGUCCGCACCAUAUGGAGGUUCCCAGGCUAGGCAUCGAAUAGGAGCCAUAGCAAUGCCAAAUCCAAGCCGUGUCUGCAACCUACACCACAGCUCGCGGCAACACCGGAUCCUUAACCCACAGAGCGAGGCCAUGGAUCGAACCUGCGUCCACGCGGAUGCUGGUCAGAUUCAUUUUUGCUGAACCACAACGGGAACUCCAACACGUUCAGUCAUGACAGCGUGCUUGCCUUUCAGUGCUCGCUGUGCCAAGUGCACGUGUCUUUUGAUCUCCACAACCUAUGGCAUAGAUGUUAAUGACUCUUCCAUUUCACAGAUGGGGAAGCUGGCUCAGAGAGACCCCAAGGUCACAGAAGGACUAAGUAGCAGGGCUGGAGUUUGAGCCCAGCGGCCCGACUCUUGAGCCUGAGUCUUUAAGGAAGCACUUAGGACCAAGCCAGCCUGCUUCAAAGAACAGAGGAAGGACAGCUGGAGAAGAGAUCACAGGCACAGCGAGGUUGAACACACAAGUUAAUGUUAAACAGCUAUUAAGUGACAGAGAUGGAUUUGAGGCUAAGGUUUGCUCGUAAGUGCCUCAUUAUGUUCUUCUUCUAAACAAUAACACUAUAUGCUUCAACCUUCGCGUCGCCUUUAUUCUGCUUCAAUUCUGAAGGGUUUAGCAAGAUCAGGCAUAGAAGAGUUUUAAUGCAGCUUUGUUGAAUUUAAGUGAAAAUAAAUCUUCACGUCUCUUCUUUUCUUCUUGAUGUUUACAGCCCUCACGGGUAAUGCUCAGCUCUGAGUCCAACACCAGAUAUCUUCAGAUAUGUUCAGUUCAUAAGGAAACACUGGCGGCUUAGCCCUGAAGACUCUAGGUCCAUAGUCACAUAUCCAGCAGGCGAUGUGUCUUUUCUUACAGCUCAGAAACUCCGAUGGAUCUGCCUGGCUUUCUUGUCCAUGGAUGGGUUUUCCUAUUAGCACUCGCUCUUCAGCACCUAGACUCUGCGGUCUGUGGACAGAGAGGCGAUGUAUUGACUGAACGCCCCAGGAACUAGGCGAAUAACAAUAAGUGUCCCCAAAGAUGUGGAUAUCGGGUUCCCUCGCAUCAUGUUUAAAUUCUACCCCAAACCGGAAAAUGGCCAGCGCCCUUGGCCCCAGAGACCUGUCUCCUUCCGUUCCCUGCCCUCUCUGCUCCCCAGGUAAAUGCAUUGAGCUCCUCUCCUUCCUCUCUGACGAGGUCCCAGCAGAGCCAGCCUGAGGAGGGGUUGGGGGAGGAGAGAAAGGUGACCCUUAGCCACAGUGGCAGCUUCACCUGCCAGUGGUUUCGUGUUUCCUACACGGAGCUGAGGUUCAGGUUCACUGUCUCAUUUACUCCUGAGGGGAGGAUUAUUGUCUGCACUUUACAGGGACAACACCGAGGCCGAGAAAGUAUUACCAGCCCAGAGCUAACAAACUACAGCUCCGGUGGAGGAAAGCCGGGAUUUCUUCCCGUUCACAUCUGUUUGACUUCCAAACCUGCUUCUCUUUCUUUCUCAUUCUCAUUAUUGCUGUUGUGAGGAGGAGGAGGAGGAGGAAUGCUGCCUAAGAGUCAGCUCUUUGUAGUGGAACUUGUGCAUGCCUCAAGCUAGAAAGAAAAUCAAAAGGAUGCAACGUGUUUCCGUGUCAGUGCAAACAUAUUUGGGGGGAGAGGCUGGUCCUUGGUUGCCUUCUUUCACCAGUACUUGGAAAGUCUCAACUGAAGAAAGAAUAUGGGGAGUUCCUGUUGUGGCUCAGUGGGUUAAGAACCCCGCUGGGGAUGCGGGCUCAAUCCCUGGCCCCUCUCAGUGGGUUAAGGAUCUGUCAUUGCUACAAGCUUCAGCAAAGAUCACAGAUGUGGCUCAGAUCCAGCAUUGUUGUGGCUGUGGCUGUGGCCAGCAGCUGUAACUCCAAUUCGACCUCUAGCCCAGGAGCUUCCAUAUGCUGCAAGUGCAGCCCUACAAAGAAAAAAGGGAAGAAGAGGAAAAAAAAAAAAAAAAA